Molecule: ribosomal RNA, 492 nt
Filed under: uncultured bacterium
Lineage: Bacteria
Description: partial 16S ribosomal RNA
Rfam family: Bacterial small subunit ribosomal RNA
Source: RNAcentral
AGUGAACGCUGGCGGUAGGCCUAACACAUGCAAGUCGAACGGCAGCACAGUAAGAGCUUGCUCUUACGGGUGGCGAGUGGCGGACGGGUGAGGAAUACAUCGGAAUCUACUUUUUCGUGGGGGAUAACGUAGGGAAACUUACGCUAAUACCGCAUACGACCUACGGGUGAAAGCAGGGGAUCUUCGGACCUUGCGCGAUUGAAUGAGCCGAUGUCGGAUUAGCUAGUUGGCGGGGUAAAGGCCCACCAAGGCGACGAUCCGUAGCUGGUCUGAGAGGAUGAUCAGCCACACUGGAACUGAGACACGGUCCAGACACCUACGGGAGGCAGCAGUGGGGAAUAUUGGACAAUGGGCGCAAGCCCGAUCCAGCCAUACCGCGUGGGUGAAGAAGGCCUUCGGGUUGUAAAGCCCUUUUGUUGGGAAAGAAAAGCAGCAGGUUAAUACCCCGCUGUUCUGACGGUACCCAAAGAAUAAGCACCGGCUAACUUCGUG